UAAGAAAAGUGUGUCACAAAAAAAAGGUUGUAAUUUGCAGCGUUUAGUAAAAUAUCGCAAGUCGGCGCAACGUGGCGGCAGAGAAAAGCCCGCGGAUGAGACGGGAUGAAGACAAAGCACCUGCAGCCAAACUCUGCAGGAGGUUUUUCCAGCAGGUGCGCGCCCUCCCCAAAAAACCCUUUAAAAGGAUCUGACCGUGCCCGUCUCAAGCUCUUGCCCCCGUGUCUUAGAGCCGCCAAGACUCUCACUGAGCUAAAGGCCCGGCGUGUGGCGGGGCGUCUUGGCACUUGCUUUGUGCCGUGCCAAUAAAAGCUGACACCCAGUAGACCAUUACUGGCAGCCAUGCAUGAGAUGGGAUGAGGCGCGCGCAAGAAGAGUGGACCAUUCAUUGUUUAUUUAUUUCAUUCUCACUGAGGAUGCUGAUGGAGGAGGGAGGGGAGCGAGCGGAGGGGCACCCCUCACUCGUAUAUUGGACGGCUCCCCUUCUGUCACCUAUGGCACGCCGAGGCAGCCCAUGAAAUUAACACAACUUAGUUUCUUAUCCGCGCCAUGACUCGUCCUCUCCAAUCUUUUUUAUUUUUAUUUUUUUCUUCCUCUUCUGUAGCAAGUCUCCUUCGUGGCAAAGCGACUUUUUCGACAUCAUCAAGUGCGCAUAUAUCGGGACAUGUAUCAAAGGCUAUUUAAGCAUUUAUUCAACAUAUCCAGUUUACCCUCCCGAAUGACCCGAACUGACUAGUAGAAGAAUGUCAGUUACUUCCAAGUAACUCUAUGAUAUUUCUGCAUACUAAUAGGACAACUAUGAGUUCAUUUUGAGGCAAAAACUGUACGGGAAAUGGCAUCUAUGCGCUAUAUGUUCACUGGUACAAUUUCAUGAUGUCACGAGCAGUAGCGUAGCACAUAGUUGCCAACUAGCACACAGCUUUGAGUAACUGGUAACAUAGCUGUCCGAGUGUGACAAAGUCGUCCGAGAGUGUACAGAAAUGUCGUACAGUAAUUGGACAUCCAGUGGUGGAAAAAAAAAACAUUCCUGGUAAAACGCAACCAUUCUACUUGUGCACUGAAAUGUCCAACUGGUGUGGACAUAGAGCGCACUUCUACAUGGAUCUUAAGAUCGAUAUAAAGUAUGUUGAUUGCAUUUUAAAUUGGCUUUCCAUAGACUUGUCGGCGAUAAGAUGCAUGAUUUUUU
This is a long non-coding RNA of Hippocampus comes (tiger tail seahorse), 1186 nucleotides long. RefSeq lists it as uncharacterized. NCBI's taxonomy places the organism in Eukaryota, Metazoa, Chordata, Actinopteri, Syngnathiformes, Syngnathidae. The transcript is spliced from 2 exons. The record is from RefSeq and is a predicted model, not a curated record.